RNAcentral lists this unclassified non-coding RNA (337 nucleotides) under soil metagenome. RNAcentral describes it as "partial contains 5.8S ribosomal RNA, internal transcribed spacer 2, and large subunit ribosomal RNA". The stretch from base 5 to 119 matches the Rfam family "5.8S ribosomal RNA", at positions 40 to 154 of the family's 154-position model. The record is from RNAcentral.
GAUGAGAACGUAGCGAAAUGCGAUACGUAGUGUGAAUUGCAGAAUUCAGUGAAUCAUCGAAUCUUUGAACGCACAUUGCGCCCUUUGGUAUUCCAAAGGGCAUGCCUGUUCGAGCGUCAUUUGUACCCUCAAGCUUUGCUUGGUGUUGGGCGUCUUGUCUCCAGUCCGCUGGAGACUCGCCUUAAAGUCAUUGGCAGCCGGCCUACUGGUUUCGGAGCGCAGCACAAGUCGCACUCUUUUCCAGCCAAGGUCAGUGUCCAACAAGCCUUUUUUCAACUUUUGACCUCGGAUCAGGUAGGGAUACCCGCUGAACUUAAGCAUAUCAAUAAGCGGAGGA